CACGCCGUAAACGGUGGGCGCUAGGUGUGGGGAACAUUCCACGUUCUCCGUGCCGCAGCUAACGCAUUAAGCGCCCCGCCUGGGGAGUACGGCCGCAAGGCUAAAACUCAAAGGAAUUGACGGGGGCCCGCACAAGCGGCGGAGCAUGCGGCUUAAUUCGAUGCAACGCGAAGAACCUUACCUAGGCUUGACAGUUGGGGAAAACUGGCAGAGAUGUCAGGUCCUUUUGGGCCCCAAAACAGGUGG
RNAcentral lists this ribosomal RNA (246 nucleotides) under uncultured Actinomycetales bacterium. Its description in RNAcentral is "partial 16S ribosomal RNA". It matches the Rfam family "Bacterial small subunit ribosomal RNA", at positions 796 to 1041 of the family's 1533-position model. The record is from RNAcentral. Lineage: Bacteria; Bacillati; Actinomycetota; Actinomycetes; Actinomycetales.